This 29-nucleotide non-coding RNA is filed under the name Homo sapiens (human). The record is from RNAcentral. Lineage: Eukaryota; Metazoa; Chordata; Mammalia; Primates; Hominidae.
UAGUUCAUACUGUCUUUUCUGGGUGAAUA